GACGAACGCUGGCGGCGUGCUUAACACAUGCAAGUCGAACGGAAAGGCCCUGCUUUUGUGGGGUGCUCGAGUGGCGAACGGGUGAGUAACACGUGAGUAACCUGCCCUUGACUUUGGGAUAACUUCAGGAAACUGGGGCUAAUACCGGAUAGGAGCUCCUGCUGCAUGGUGGGGGUUGGAAAGUUUCGGCGGUUGGGGAUGGACUCGCGGCUUAUCAGCUUGUUGGUGGGGUAGUGGCUUACCAAGGCUUUGACGGGUAGCCGGCCUGAGAGGGUGACCGGCCACAUUGGGCCUGGGAUACGGCCCAGACUCCUACGGGAGGCAGCAGUGGGGAAGAGUGCACAAUGGGCGGAAGCCUGAUGCAGCAACGCCGCGUGCGGGAUGACGGCCUUCGGGUUGUAAUCCGCUUUCGCCUGUGACGAAGCGUGAGUGACGGUAAUGGGUAAAGAAGCACCGGCUAACUACGUG
This 468-nucleotide ribosomal RNA is filed under the name uncultured bacterium. RNAcentral's name for it is "partial 16S ribosomal RNA". It matches the Rfam family "Bacterial small subunit ribosomal RNA", at positions 28 to 507 of the family's 1533-position model. The record is from RNAcentral.